RNAcentral lists this ribosomal RNA (120 nucleotides) under uncultured bacterium. RNAcentral's name for it is "partial 16S ribosomal RNA". It matches the Rfam family "Bacterial small subunit ribosomal RNA", at positions 30 to 143 of the family's 1533-position model. The record is from RNAcentral.
AUUGAACGCUGGCGGAAUGCUUUACACAUGCAAGUCGAACGGCAGCACGGAGAGCUUGCUCUCUGGUGGCGAGUGGCGAACGGGUGAGUAACAUAUCGGAACGUAUCCAAUAAUGGGGGA